Molecule: long non-coding RNA, 390 nt
Filed under: Homo sapiens (human)
Lineage: Eukaryota; Metazoa; Chordata; Mammalia; Primates; Hominidae
Description: non-protein coding lnc-FOXD1-3:8
Source: RNAcentral
AUUCCAUAAUUCAUUUAAGCAGGAUAAACAGAGCUCCUGCUCUGGAAGAUCCAGCCCUGAGCAAAAGGCACUUGGAAUCGACAUGGGGGGCUCGAAUGUCCCUGUGAAACAUAAACAUAAGGAGGCAGGAGACAUGAGAUGCAGCCGGCUCUGACCCCAAAGAGCCAUGGGACCUGAGCAUCACUUGUCUAAAGCAGAGGAGGAGACUGCCCUGCUGGAGUGUGACAUUCAAGACUUGGGCCCAUGACUUGGCAGUGGCAUGUUGAGGACGUUGAACCCUGAUCUGGGCAGAACGUACUGAUUGGCCCACAAGAUUGCAGGUGAAAGAGACACAUGGAAAAUGCUAACAGAAAAUGACAAAUUGCGAGUUGGGCAUUUAUAAACCAUAAA